CAGAGUUGCAAAACUCCCUAACCCUUGUGAACAUACCUGUACGUCGUUGCUUCGGCGGGUAGCCCCUUUACGGGGCCUCGACUUCCCAGCGAGGUUGCCCGCCGGAGGACCACACAAAACUCUUGAAUUAAUGGCUUCUCUGAGUAUUAAUCAAAUAAGUUA
This 162-nucleotide unclassified non-coding RNA is filed under the name uncultured Sordariomycetes. Its description in RNAcentral is "sequence contains ITS1". Lineage: Eukaryota; Fungi; Ascomycota; Sordariomycetes. The record is from RNAcentral.